This 579-nucleotide ribosomal RNA is filed under the name uncultured bacterium. RNAcentral describes it as "bacterial SSU rRNA". It matches the Rfam family "Bacterial small subunit ribosomal RNA", at positions 224 to 793 of the family's 1533-position model. The record is from RNAcentral.
GAGGGGGUCGCGGCUGAUUAGCUAGUUGGUGAGGUAAUGGCUCACCAAGGCGAAGAUCGGUAGCCGGCCUGAGAGGGCGCACGGCCACACUGGAACUGAAACACGGUCCAGACUCCUACGGGAGGCAGCAGUGGGGAAUCUUGCGCAAUGGGCGAAAGCCUGACGCAGCAACGCCGCGUGGAGGAUGAAGGCCCUUGGGUUGUAAACUCCUGUCGGCUGGGAAGAAAUCGUUCGCGGUUAAUACCCGCGGGCGUUGACUGUACCAGCAAAGGAAGCCCCGGCUAACUCUGUGCCAGCAGCCGCGGUAAUACAGAGGGGGCCAGCGUUAUUCGGAAUUAUUGGGCGUAAAGGGCGCGUAGGCGGCCCUGCGUGUCUUCCGUGAAAUCCCUCGGCUUAACUGAGGACGUGCGGAAGAAACUGCGGGGCUCGAGUCCGGGAGAGGGGGGGUGGAAUUCCCAGUGUAGCGGUGAAAUGCGUAGAUAUUGGGAGGAACACCGGUGGCGAAGGCGGCCCCCUGGACCGGUACUGACGCUGAGGCGCGAAAGCGUGGGGAGCAAACGGGAUUAGAUACCCCGGUAG